RNAcentral lists this ribosomal RNA (253 nucleotides) under uncultured bacterium. RNAcentral describes it as "partial 16S ribosomal RNA". It matches the Rfam family "Bacterial small subunit ribosomal RNA", at positions 524 to 776 of the family's 1533-position model. The record is from RNAcentral.
GACGUAUUGCGCGAGCGUUGUCCGGAUUUAUUGGGCGUAAAGAGCUCGUAGGCGGUUUGUUGCGUCGGCUGUGAAAUCCCGAGGCUCAACCUCGGGUCUGCAGUCGAUACGAGCAGACUAGAGUGUUGCAGGGGAGACUGGAAUUCCUGGUGUAGCGGUGAAAUGCGCAGAUAUCAGGAGGAACACCGGUGGCGAAGGCGGGUCUAUGGGCAACAACUGACGCUGAGGAGCGAAAGCGUGGGGAGCGAACAGG